ACUCAGCCGCUUCUCAUCCACUCACCACCCCCUCUGCUAUGGUUCCCUGACAACUAAGACCCUGAGGCAACCACAAGACCGACACCAGAUCUGCUGCAGCCUCAGAAUAAAGCCUGGUCCAAAACGCUUCUGUCCUCACCGGUUGCUUCAAGUCAAAGGGAUUUUCUCUCCCCUAAAGAAGCGCUCUGCUUCCUGACAAAGAUCCAGGAGAGCACUGAAAGAAAAAGAGCUGGGGAACGAUGCCUACAAGAAGAAAGACUUUGACACAGCCUUGAAGCAUUACGACAAAGCCAAGGAGCUGGACCCCACCAACAUGACUUACAUUACCAAUCAAGCAGCGGUAUACUUUGAAAAGGGCGACUACAAUAAGUGCCGGGAGCUUUGUGAGAAGGCCAUUGAAGUGGGGAGAGAAAACCGAGAAGACUAUCGACAGAUUGCCAAAGCGUAUGCUCGAAUUGGCAACUCCUACUUCAAAGAAGAAAAGUACAAGGAUGCCAUCCAUUUCUAUAACAAGUCUCUGGCAGAACACCGAACCCCAGAUGUGCUCAAGAAAUGCCAGCAG
Molecule: small RNA, 562 nt
Filed under: Pongo abelii (Sumatran orangutan)
Lineage: Eukaryota; Metazoa; Chordata; Mammalia; Primates; Hominidae
Description: processed transcript
Source: RNAcentral